This is an RNA transcript of Branchiostoma floridae (Florida lancelet), 783 nucleotides long. It is a transcript of the gene named ALX homeobox protein 1-like, with no coding region annotated. The record is from RefSeq and is a predicted model, not a curated record. The transcript has 3 exons. Lineage: Eukaryota; Metazoa; Chordata; Leptocardii; Amphioxiformes; Branchiostomatidae.
UCUUUAGAUAUAACUCACAAUUCACCCUAAUAUGUUUUUGACAGCAUCCUCUCUUUACUUCCUGCUAGGUAUGGUUUCAAAAUAGAAGGGCAAAGUGGAGAAAGAAAGAGCGGUUCCACCAGAUAUCGGGCAUGCGCCAGACCACGGCGGGGACAGGCGCGUACAUGCCCGUCCAGCCACAGCCCGCGGGCGCAUACUCCCAGAUCGCAUUCCAACGCGGCGAACAUAGCGGGUAUACAAGGAGCCCGCAACAUUUGGCGAGCCCUCCACUCCCAUGGGUGUAAGUUCAGGUUCAUACGUCAUCAUGGGGAGGGGUGGGCAACUCCUCCUGUAUGUCACCACACACCAACCUCCCCAGCUUCAUGGGCGUGGCCACGCAAGCGCAGCCGGCCCUCCACGCCAUCUCCCCCCUGUCCACCAACAGCCAAGACUCCCUGACCAAUGGGCAGCGCCAGCUGGACAUAGCAUGUGCAGAAGCAGACAGAAGAAGUUCCAGUAUAGCCGCUCUCAGACUGAAGGCGCGGGAACACAGCGUGGCGCUGAGCAUGAUGGGAGGCCCUUACAUCAAAUGAUAGGAAACACGGAAUGACGGGACAUCCCAAAGGACGUCCCUGAAUACGUAUAUGUACUUGCUCCAAAUACCAUGCCCCUGUGUAAGCUACAACACACGAGUUGGUAUUUAUUCAGUUUACCAUUGUCUCGAAGAACAUUUAUGCUUUUCCCAUGCAACCAACCAACCAACCAACCAACCAACCAACCAACCAACCAACCAAUUAAUCAACC